GUCCAGGGUAGCCUAGUGGACAUGGCACCUGCCCGGUAAGCAGAAGGUUGUGGGUUCGAUUCCCGCACCUGGACA
Molecule: transfer RNA, 75 nt
Filed under: Cordylochernes scorpioides
Lineage: Eukaryota; Metazoa; Arthropoda; Arachnida; Pseudoscorpiones; Chernetidae
Description: tRNA-Thr
Rfam family: tRNA
About the family: Transfer RNA (tRNA) molecules are approximately 80 nucleotides in length. Their secondary structure includes four short double-helical elements and three loops (D, anti-codon, and T loops).
Source: RNAcentral